CUGCUGGUGAUGUGAAGCUAUGCACCAGGGGUCGUUGGAACAGGUAGCGGAAUGACCCGCACCCUUCCGUCCCCUUUCCACAACGCCAAAAUGGGACCAGUGCUCUGUGGGAUAGCUGUCCACAAUGCACCACUCACAACAGCGCUGCAACUGGUGCAAGUGUGGACACACUG
This is a non-coding RNA of Chelonoidis abingdonii (Abingdon island giant tortoise), 173 nucleotides long. The record is from RefSeq and is a predicted model, not a curated record. Lineage: Eukaryota; Metazoa; Chordata; Testudines; Testudinidae.